GUAAGAUCAUAAAAACAUAUCCUUACAUGCAAUUUUAAAAAUGUGUUUUUCACACUAAUGUAUUUCCUAUUAUGUUCUGCAAAAUACAUUUAAUGUAUACGUGGAUUUUGAAACACUUUCAGGAGAUAAAUUUUGAAGAUGACUGGAAGCUCAUCACUCUCUUCAUCGGAGCAAAUGAUGUGUGCAGCUACUGUGAAGACCAGAUAAAGCACUCGCCCGAACGCUACAUUAACCACAUACAGACUGCGUUGGAUAUGCUCCACAAAGAGGUAUCGAUGCACUUUACCUGGGCACAUCAUUACAGUUUAAAUUGACAUCAGUGUUUUUCAUCCACGCUCCGUAAAAAAAAAAGACAUCCCCUUUGAGUGCACUUUCCCUGCUCGUUCAGGUACCAAGGGCCUUUGUCAACUUGGUGGAGAUUCUGUACAUCGAGCCGCUACGGAAACUCCACCAGGACGAGAACAAGUGCCCCAAACAGCUCAUGAGCAUUCUGUGUGGAUGCAUCGUGGACCCCACAAACCCAGAUGACUUGGCAGUGGUGACCAAAGCAAACAGGGCUUACCAGGUAUGCAUAUUUCUCCGAGAGGGCCUCAGAGACUCCCAGCUAAGUACAUGAUGAACUAGGCUUUGCUUUUUAUUGUUCAAAGGAUUUACAAAACUCAACGAAAACUACAUUCCCAUGGCCUUAAUUGCUGAUGAUAACGAAUGAAUCGAGAUGUCUGGACAAUGAAAUCGAAGUUUCACCAAGUGCCGUGGCAUUGCCGUUUGUUAUAUAUUGUUUAACUUU
Molecule: non-coding RNA, 787 nt
Organism: Petromyzon marinus (sea lamprey)
Lineage: Eukaryota; Metazoa; Chordata; Hyperoartia; Petromyzontiformes; Petromyzontidae
Source: RefSeq, a predicted model, not a curated record